AAAUUUGGCAGUCAGUCAGUGGGGGAUAAGCUUCAUUGGCGAGAGGGAAACACCCCAGACCAUCGGAUAAGGUCCCUAAGGUAGUGCUAAGUGGCAAGAAGGAGGUAAGUUUUCAUAGACAAUGGGGAUGUUGGCUUAGAGGCAGCCAUCAUUUAAAAAGUGCGUAAUAGCUUACCCAUCGAGAGAGUUUGCGCCGAAAAUGAUCGGGACUAAAGUAUCACACCGAAUUUGUGGAUUAGAAAUAAUGGUAGGAGAGCGUUCCAACGACAUAGAAGGGUGAGCGGAAGCGAAUCUGGAGUUUUUGGAAGUGAGAAUCUAGGCAUGAGUAACGAUAAGUAUGGUUAAAAUCCAUACCGCCGUAAGGAUAAGGUUUCCUGGGGAAGGUUCGUCCGCCCAGGGUUAGUCGGGAGCUAAGGCGAGGCCGUAAGGAGUAGUCGAUGCACAAUAGGUUAAUAAUCCUAUACUAUAUUAGAGGUGUUUGAAUCGUAUAUUGACGAACGAGUGAAUGUCAUCCGGGUGAUGAACGUCCCGGUCUAAGGCAAUGGAAGUUGCCGGGGACCUUGAAGCUACGGCCGAGAGGGAUUGACAGUGGCUAGUUCCGGGAAAAUUUAUACGGCUAAUUUCUAAUAUACCCGUACCGCAAACCGACACAGGUAUCCGGGAUGAGUAUUCUAAGGCGCGUGAGUUAAAUCUCUCCAAGGAACUCGGCAAAAUGGCCCCGUAUCUUCGGUAGAAGGGGUGCCAACGCGAGUUGGUCUCAGUAAAGAGGCCCAACCGACUGUUUAUCAAAAACACAGCUCUCUGCCAAGUCGCAAGACGACGUAUAGGGAGUGACACGUGACCAAUGCGGAAAGGUGAAAGCUGGUUGUGCAAGCUUCUGGUCUAAGCCCCCGUGAAUGUCGGCCGUAACUAUAACGGUCCUAAGGUAGCGAAAUUCCUUGUCGGGUAAGUUCCGACCUGCACGAAUCAUGUAACGAGUUGGGUGCUGUCUCAGGGAGAUGCUCAGUGAAAUUGUAGUCGCGGUCAAGAUGCCGCGUACCCGCAGAAGGACGGAAAGACCCUAUGAACCUUUACUAUAAUCUGAUAUUGUCGUUUGAUUUUUAAUACGUAGAAUAGCUGGGAGGCUAAGAAAUUGCACUUCAGGGUGUGAAAGAGCCGCAAUGUGAAAUACCAGUUUUUAACUGUUAGAC
RNAcentral lists this ribosomal RNA (1190 nucleotides) under human gut metagenome. RNAcentral's name for it is "bacterial LSU rRNA". It matches the Rfam family "Bacterial large subunit ribosomal RNA", at positions 973 to 2219 of the family's 2925-position model. The record is from RNAcentral.